Molecule: small nucleolar RNA, 79 nt
Organism: Malania oleifera
Lineage: Eukaryota; Viridiplantae; Streptophyta; Magnoliopsida; Santalales; Ximeniaceae
Product: small nucleolar RNA snoR28
Exons: 1
Source: RefSeq, a predicted model, not a curated record
AAUGAAGGGGAUGAUGUCUUUCUAUGCGAAUAUGAAUAUGAGGCUAAGUUUUAAGCGUCUUGCCAAUCAUCAUGCAAUU